AUUUUUAUAUAUGGGUUUUUUACCUGUUUCUUUGAAAAGCUUUCAUUAAUUUUGGUUCCCAUGGCAGCAGUUCAUUUAAAAGACGUAUCAAUGUACUAUGCAAU
Molecule: long non-coding RNA, 104 nt
Organism: Myotis davidii
Lineage: Eukaryota; Metazoa; Chordata; Mammalia; Chiroptera; Vespertilionidae
Exons: 3
Source: RefSeq, a predicted model, not a curated record